This 1301-nucleotide long non-coding RNA is filed under the name Homo sapiens (human). RNAcentral describes it as "HSALNT0404826". The record is from RNAcentral. Lineage: Eukaryota; Metazoa; Chordata; Mammalia; Primates; Hominidae.
GCGGGCAGCCGCCAGGGCGAGGCGACCCGGUGCGGGGGGACUCCCAUGGAGCGCGGACUCCUAAGGAAGUCGCUGGGAAUCCCACCGGCUGUACCGCAGGGCGUUAGUACCUAGAUGGCUUCGGUGCCCCCAAGCGAUGGGCUCAAGCUACAGGGCGGGCUUUGCACCUGGCCUUCUCAGCUCUGAGGCAGGCAGUGGGCAGCUUCGCCUCCACCCUCCGUCCAGCGCCCUUCCCAUGGGGCCAUCCGCCUCUCCCUAAGGCACUAAAAACCAGUGGAGGAGUCAGGCCAUGUUGGCAAAAAGGGCUCGGGCAGCAGCCCCAGACCUAUAGUCCUAAAUAUCCAUGUACCCAGCCCUGGGGUCGCGAGCCAUCUCAGGGACGACCCGAUUCCAGCGGAUGGAGAAGUUCCCUGAAAACACCUGCCUGGGAGGAGAGACGAGGGAACGAGAUUGGGUAACAGCUUGCAGCGUGAUAACACCAUGCAGUGUGAGGGAGCUGUAUGCAGUGGAGCCGCAGGGGUUAGUCAGGCCUCGCCCCUAAAUCUGCCUCUUAAAUAAGAGUCCGUUUCAGCCAAACCUGCCUUUUCCAGUUCCGUGGAGGUCAGUCUGCACAGCCAAUCCCUGACAGUGCUUUACCAUGGAACUGAAACCAUGAAAAGUGAAACUGCAAAUGGGAGAGACUGCUGUAUAGUCACUGAAAAAUUAAUGGAUGAGCUCAACAGCAAAUUAGACACAACUGAAACCUUGGACCCAUGUGUGGAAGAUGACAGCAUCACCAACUGGAGGGUGCCUGGAUCCCUGAGUCACCACUUGAAGCAAAAAGGUCAAGAGUAGCCACCUGACCCAUAUCAGGCUAUGAAAUGAGCAGCAUCUGGUUGCUACAGCAACCCCAGCUCUGCAGGGUGUCCCGAUUACCAGCAGGCUCCCUGCACCUGCCUCAGGCUGAGAGCAGGCGGCUGCCGCCAAGGGGAACACCAAGGAAAUGCCCAUGUUCUGAUUCCAAGGUAAUGGCUCAGACCCAAGGGGAUUUUAUCUGUUCAAUGUGCAACCUGAUGAAGUUUUGUCCCAUGUUAAUAAUUUCAUUAAAAAUAUGGCCUUACAUCCUAUUCGAUGCACUCAGUCUUUUUUUUUUAUUCACUCGGCUCCAUCAAAACACAAAAAGAUAACAUUGUCAUUCAUUUGGGAUUGAGCAAAUGAAAGCAGCUGGAUGAGUUUUGGUUCCAGGGUUUAGACAAAGCCCCUAAGGGACAAAAUUGGAAUCAGAGCUGAGUGGCUGGCCCUGCUCUCUGGAUUUGCAUAAG